This is a long non-coding RNA of Grammomys surdaster, 426 nucleotides long. RefSeq lists it as uncharacterized. The transcript is spliced from 3 exons. Lineage: Eukaryota; Metazoa; Chordata; Mammalia; Rodentia; Muridae. The record is from RefSeq and is a predicted model, not a curated record.
GGGAGAGGCGGGGCAUCCUGGAUGGAGACGAAGGCGGGAGAGGAGGACGCGCCUGCGUGCUACGGGUAGGGGAAGGGUCAGGUCUUCUACCUUCUAGGGUCUCUUGUAUCGCAGGCUGGACUUGGACUUGCUGUAUAACCAAGGGUGACAUUGAAAAUCCUUUGAAACUUCCUCUUCGCCCUUUGAACGCCCAUGAGGAAAGUACAGUCCUGUGCUGUUCCAGUGUAAUAGGCGACUGUAACUGUGAAGAGAAGGAAAGUCACAGAAGCUGCAUUGAUGGCCAAGGUCAAUACACUGGAUCCCUCCUCCCAGUGACACCGCAACAGUUUCCUCCACGCCCCAUGGCCCCAUUCAGUCAUAGAUCACCUGCUUUCACUCAAAGCUGGACAUGGGCUAGCCUAGAUCAGUGGUGUGGUAUGUUGUUCC